Long non-coding RNA from Chrysemys picta bellii (western painted turtle), 5100 nucleotides. RefSeq lists it as uncharacterized. The record is from RefSeq and is a predicted model, not a curated record. NCBI's taxonomy places the organism in Eukaryota, Metazoa, Chordata, Testudines, Emydidae.
ACGGCUUUAUUUGGCAGUGCUAAAAAAAUACCAGGACAAAUGGCUAAACAGUGUUGGGACAGCAGGAUGAAUAAUCAAUGAGCAGAGAGCAAGAUAGAGGCUCCCUCAGAUUCUGGAUCGACAAUCGACAACUGAGAGAUUAUUUUUUGCAAUGGUUGACUAAAUAUGGUCAGGGAAGAGAGAGGCACAAGAGAGCCUGUUUGCCUGGGAGUGCAUGUUUCAAAUGCUUAGCUGCCUAUAAAGCUGUAACAGUUUUGCUCAUGCCCUCUGAGUGGGAAAUACAGUUAGUUUCUUCUGUAGUGUGCAUGUGGGAGCCCUGACCUCACUCACAGACUUGACCUCUGGAGAUGGAAUGUAGCUUCAACACAGAUCUGCCUACAGUUAAGCCUGGAAACUUAACCUCAAUCAAGAACAAAUGCGGUGCAAUAUCUAAGGAGCUGGAAGAAAUUUUUUUUUUUUUUUUUUUUUUUUUGGGUCACUCCAACUUUUUCUCUGAUUACUUUCAUCUGCCAAUGGGCUGAGUUCACCAUCCCAGGGCUUCCUAGCAUCUUUCCUUGGACACUUAAUUCUUAGCCCAGCAGCCACAAGGUAUUAAUUUCUACGCAACAUCAUCCAUAUUUUAUCAAUCCAAGAAAGGUAGCAGCACCAAGUAAGCUUCACUGUUCACACUAUUUUGCUUUGAAGUUUUAUCUAUUUAAGGUGGUAAGGUACUGUAUUCACUGACACUUCCCCCCUACUCCCCCUCGCAUAUAAUGAAGAGCUGAAUCAGACGAACACUCAAGAUGAGAUGGCUGCUGCUGAUGUAUCUCUCUAGGUCAUUACCUAUCUUCCAACUGCAAAUGCUGCAUGAUACUAAGCUUACAGGAUACUAAAUGCAAUCUGUAUACCAGCAUGGAAAUCUGGCAGAAGACUCAAAGAAAACUGAAGUUCUUAUGGUGGACUACAAUUAUCUAUUCCAGGAAAGUACUUUGCAAAGCCACCCACCAAUGACAUCUCUACCUUCAAAAUUGGCCAGCCAGAAUGAACACCAAGAGACAACAAAAAUCUGGAUAAGUGCUUCAAAUGUCCAUGUCAUCACGGAACAUGGAACUGUAAAACACUUUAAGUCACUUUGAAGGUAAAUUGCAUUGUAAAGUUCAGUCUUAGAGAAAAAGGUUAGCUUAUAACAAGUUUAUUUUAAGACUGUUCUUUCAAAGAAAUGACAACAUGCAUUCUGCAUCUUCUAACAAGGAAAGGAACGAAAAAGCAAAAUACUUUCAGAUUCUUUUUGACAGAUAGCUGAGCAACUAUAUGUAUUCCUGCCCAGAGUACAUACUUCUUUAUGUACCCAUAUGAACAUAUAAUGCUAUGGAAUGUAAAGAAGUAUGUAUUUUUGGCAGGCACUGAACAACCAGUAAGAGGAAAUUAAACUGCAGCUGGAAGAAACAGGUCUCCUAUUGUUUGAAUGACUUUCAUGUGGCAAAUUAACAAAUUAACUUGGUAAGGGUCAGAUGACGCUACUGCCAAAGUAAAAUCACGUAUUGCUUAUGAAUCUUGAAACAUUAUCCCAAGUCACUUAUUUAGAGGGUGGGUAGAGAAAGUUCUGUUAUUGGUUGUAGAUAAAUUAUGAACAAAACUUCAGGGUUUUUGUUUAUAAAUUCAAAAUGAGUUUGGAAAUGCAAAUAGUCACACUAGAAAACUCUGGAUGAAAUAUAUAGCCUAUUUGCAAAAAUGAUUAUCAAUCCUAUUCAGAAAAAUCUUUUUCACCCUAACUUUAUUCAACUAAAGUAGACUUUUUUAAAGAUUAUCUAAAGAAAUGAGGAAUGUGAUUAAAAAAAAAAUCUUAAGUCUGCAGACCAUGCUCUGAUUCCAAAAUUAAGUUUGCCUAAUAAUCCAUAGACACCGAGUCUAGUAAUAAUUAACACUGUUGUAAGAAACUGCUUGGCAGUUAGUUUUUGAUUUAGCAAACAGAAGAGAAAAAUGUUUUCAAAAUAAUUUUAAAUUACCAUAUACAAAUUCUAAUAUUUUAGAGACAUAAAUUUGGUGUUUCUCCAAAUCAACCGUUAUUAAAUGCACUGAGAGCUUGGAUGGAAUAAACUGCAGUGUCAGGUUCAUGCAUGUAAAGUGACAAUGCAGAGAUUUCUAGGCCACAGCUGCCAGUCAGCGGAUUAAAGCUAAUGACAGAUUCCAAAACAAAAACACGGGAAUGACAGAACACAGGAUUCCUACAUUUUUCUGAAAAACGCAGUCUAAUUUUAACAAAACUGGCUAAGCAAUUCUGAAUUACAUAUGAAAUUAUCAAAUUUAUACUGCUGCUCCUUAAACUCUUCACCUAAAAUUUCAGUUUUAAAUUAUGAAACCCCUAGUUUGGUAAGCUGUAAUUGUAAAAACUAUAUGGAAAAUAAGAAAAAGGUGAAGCUGUCAACAGAAGCAUACCAUUUAUUUCUAAAAAUUAAUGUUAACUAAAACACAUCAACAAAAUCAGUCAACACAAAGAAAUUUUUACGUAACGAAUGACUUGUGCUGCACUUACUCAUCUAUGUAUAGAUAUUACAGGAGGUUCCAAACAGUAAUGCUUGCAUAUUAUACAUGCUUGUCAUAACAGGCACAAUUGGCCCAGAUUAAAGAAUAAAGAUUGAGUCCAUUCGUUUAUUUUAAUAUUUUUAAAAUUCUGGGAUCGUUUUUUGUGUCAGGAAAGGAAAAUCUCAAAUGUAAGAGACCCAAAGGAUAAUUAUGCCUUCAAAAAUAUUAGUUUAUUGGAUAUGUGUUCCAUUUUUCAAAGGAGGCGUAUUUUAAUCACUACAAAAUACCAAAAAUUAUUAGAUAUCACCAGCUAUUUUUUUUUAAAGUAUUUAGCCAGAACUAUAGAAUUACACUUAUAUAAAAAGGAAUCAAACUAAUGUAACUGUAUUCAUAAGGUAAUUUUUUAUAAAUUGGUCUGAGUUAUUUUCCACAUGAUCAAAUACCUUGGAAUGUAGUCUGUAUAGAACUCCAACCUCCAAAUUACAGGCUGUUUUAUAAUGGAAAAAAGCUAAACUAUUAGCAACUCUACUGGGUUUCAUAAUGCUGCUUAGCUUCUAGGCUCGUAACUGACAGAUCUGUAGACUGAGAACCCAAUUCACUAUUGGAGUAAGUGGUAAGUGGACAACUUCAUUUAUUUCUCUGAAGCUUUCCAUGUUAUGCCAGCAAUUGAUAUGUAGGUUUCAAUCUAAAUAUCUGACUAUCUUUACUAAGGAUCAAACUUAUUGUGACGGGUUCUUUAUAACAAGCCACUGAUGCUGAAUCCGCUCUUGCUAUGCCGUAAUAAGACAGCAAUUCUACUAUGAAACAAAUUGACAGUUCUCAGAGAGAUAUAAAAGUUAAAAUUAUAUAUUGACAUUGCUUCUUGCUAGCUCAUAUUAACCUAUCUCUAAGAAUAUACUCAGUCACUCUAAAAUGUCACAUCCAUCACUUAGAUCAGCUGUUCAAUUUUAACUGAGCACAUGCUGAACUCUGGGCAUCUGCUGACACUGUUGUAACUCAAAUAUUUCAACUGCGUGACUGACAGGGAUAACAGAUGCUGACAUUAUCAAAUGCUACACUGCUUUUCCAUGGCCAUUUUUUUGCCCCGAUAUGGCCAGUACAUGAAACUGUAUUGCCAUCCAAAAGCACACUUGAGCAGCUGGAUCUGUAAAACUGCUCCUGUAUAACUGGUAAAAAUAGAAGCCACUUUUAUAGCGGUCUUUAAUGCUUAAGUUCAAAUGACACACCUGCUAUGUUUCUAUUAGGAUAGAUGGUGUAAAGAAUAUAUUUACAUAAAUUUCAUCAUUAGACUUCACAACAAACAGAUGAAGACUACACUUGACAGGAGCAUUAUUAGUGCAUGGUUUGAACUAAUGUCUCCCCGGCAAAGCUUAAAAAAAAACCCAGGUCUUCAAAUGCAAUAUUUGUCUGUUUAGUGUAUCUAUUGCAAUUUACCAGCACAAAUUACCUUUAAGAAAAUGCAUGAAAUAUAGCACGUUUAACUCUACUUAUAAAAAGAUAUGUAGUGUGUUAAGGAACCUUUCAUCUAAAAGGGCUUUAGAUAAAGAAAAUUCCAGAUUGAUAACAUCAGGUGUUUGUACAGAAAGAGAAAGCAUGUGUAAACAGAAAAAAAUUCCCUUGUACUAUAAUGGCAUAUAUGGGAAUUCCUAAAGUGAAUGCUAAGCAGAAAUAUACCAAAAUGAAUUAAAAGCACUUGAUAUUUAUAAGAGAGAGGCUACAAUACUCCUCUUUCCACAACCUAAUCUGUUACUUGUGCUAAUCAACUAUUGUACUAAAGCAGCAGCAAGAUAUAAAGGGUGUGGGGGGGAAGUGUUGCUUUCUCUAGUGCACUUUAAUUUAAUGAGUAAAAGGAAUAAAUGUAAGUGGCCCUAAACAUAAAUCCAAACACUCUCCAGAAUUAAACAAUCAAAAGAAAAAAUGUUUAAUACUGCCACUGUACUUUGACAUGAGGCUAGUCUACAGUUGUGCCUACAAAGAUGCUAAAAGAGAGAACAGACUGGUAUAUUGUAUAAGGCAUUCUGGGGUAAAUGUUUCCUUCCUGCCCUCCCUCCAAAAAUGACUUAAGUUAAAUCUCCAAUUACUUUAAAAAUUAAAAGUGAAGUGUCAAUAAGUGUAACAUUUAUAGCUGAAAAAUGUGUGUACUUUUAAAAUUGUACGUGUACAAUAAAAAACUCAGCUGUUUUGUUAUAAAAAGUUACAGCUUUCCUGCACUCCAAUGCUUUGCUAAAGCUGGUAAAAUGGAACCAAAUCACCUCUUCAAUGGAUUUGGUCCCCUUCAACCAGCUGUAGCUAUGCAUUGAUCACUACAGGACAUCAAAUAUUUUCAAUAAUGGAUUUAACACUUGUAUAAUGGCAACUUUGAACAUGCUUCAACUAUUCUGGACAGAUUAAAUGCACACUGUCAACAGAAGGAAACAAAUGUGAAAGUAUGGUAUUCAGUUAUACUUGAGGAUGUCCCAAAGGCAGUAUUUCUAGAUAAACAAUUACUUGUAGAAUUAUUUGUGUUUCACUUUCUGUUCUUAUUUAGUAAAAAAUGGUACCAAUGGUAAUUUCUAUAAGAAAAAAAUUCCGCAUUCAAAUAAACUGAUUGUUCAGUCA